Molecule: ribosomal RNA, 439 nt
Filed under: uncultured bacterium
Lineage: Bacteria
Description: partial 16S ribosomal RNA
Rfam family: Bacterial small subunit ribosomal RNA
Source: RNAcentral
CUACGGGAUGCUCCAGUGGGGAAUAUUGGACAAUGGGCGAAAGCCUGAUCCAGCAAUGCCGCGUGAGUGAUGAAGGCCUUAGGGUUGUAAAGCUCUUUUACUGGGGAUGAUAAUGACAGUACCCAGAGAAUAAGCUCCGGCUAACUCCGUGCCAGCAGCCGCGGUAAUACGGAGGGAGCUAGCGUUGUUCGGAAUUACUGGGCGUAAAGCGCGCGUAGGCGGUCUAUUAAGUCAGAGGUGAAAUCCCGGGGCUCAACCCCGGAACUGCCUUUGAAACUGCUAGACUAGAAUCUUGGAGAGGUCAGUGGAAUUCCGAGUGUAGAGGUGAAAUUCGUAGAUAUUCGGAAGAACACCAGUGGCGAAGGCGACUGACUGGACAAGCAUUGACGCUGAGGUGCGAAAGCGUGGGGAGCAAACAGGAUUAGAUACCCCCGUAGUC